AGAGUUUGAUCCUGGCUCAGAUUGAACGCUGGUGGCAUGCUUAACACAUGCAAGUCGGACGGCAGCGAGGUAGUAGCUUGCUACUACUGUCGGCGAGUGGCGCACGGGUGAGUAAUACGUAGGAAUCUGCCUAGCAGUUUGGGAUAACCCAGGGAAACUUGGGCUAAUACCGGAUAUAUUCUGAGGAAGAAAGGGGGGGACCUAAGGGCCUCUUGCUGUUAGAUGAGCCUACGUCGGAUUAGCUAGUUGGUGGGGUAAAGGCCUACCAAGGCGACGAUCCGUAGCUGGUCUGAGAGGAUGACCAGCCACACUGGGACUGAGACACGGCCCAGACUCCUACGGGAGGCAGCAGUGGGGAAUAUUGGACAAUGGGGGGAACCCUGAUCCAGCAAUGCCAUGUGUGUGAAGAAGGCCUGCGGGUUGUAAAGCACUUUAAGUAGGGAGGAAAGGCUGAGCGCUAAUAUCGUUCAGAUUUGACAUUACCUACAGAAUAAGCACCGGCUAACUCUGUGCCAGCAGCCGCGGUAAUACAGAGGGUGCGAGCGUUAAUCGGAAUUAUUGGGCGUAAAGCGCACGUAGGUGGAUGGAUAAGUCAGAUGUGAAAUCCCUGGGCUCAACCUGGGAAUGGCAUUUGAUACUGUUUAUCUAGAGUAUGGGAGAGGGAAGUGGAAUUUCAGGUGUAGCGGUGAAAUGCGUAGAUAUCUGAAGGAACACCAGUGGCGAAGGCGACUUUCUGGCCUAAUACUGACACUGAGGAGCGAAAGCGUGGGGAGCAAACAGGAUUAGAUACCCUAGUAGUCC
RNAcentral lists this ribosomal RNA (801 nucleotides) under uncultured bacterium. RNAcentral's name for it is "bacterial SSU rRNA". It matches the Rfam family "Bacterial small subunit ribosomal RNA", at positions 8 to 796 of the family's 1533-position model. The record is from RNAcentral.